RNAcentral lists this ribosomal RNA (439 nucleotides) under uncultured bacterium. Its description in RNAcentral is "partial 16S ribosomal RNA". It matches the Rfam family "Bacterial small subunit ribosomal RNA", at positions 339 to 795 of the family's 1533-position model. The record is from RNAcentral.
CUACGGGGUGCUGCAGUGAGGAAUAUUGCACAAUGGGGGGAACCCUGAUGCAGCAACGCCGCGUGGAGGAUGACGCAUUUCGGUGUGUAAACUCCUUUUAUAUGUCAAGAAAAUGACGGUAGCAUAUGAAUAAGCACCGGCUAACUCCGUGCCAGCAGCCGCGGUAAUACGGAGGGUGCAAGCGUUACUCGGAAUCACUGGGCGUAAAGGACGCGUAGGCGGGUUGGAAAGUCAGGUGUGAAAUCCUACAGCUUAACUGUAGAACAGCACUUGAAACUUCUAAUCUAGAGUAUGGGAGGGGGAGAUGGAAUUAGUGGUGUAGGGGUAAAAUCCGUAGAUAUCACUAGGAACACCUAAAGCGAAGGCGAUCUCCUGGAACAUUACUGACGCUAAGGCGUGAAAGCGUGGGGAGCAAACAGGAUUAGAUACCCCGGUAGUC